This 497-nucleotide ribosomal RNA is filed under the name uncultured bacterium. Its description in RNAcentral is "partial 16S ribosomal RNA". It matches the Rfam family "Bacterial small subunit ribosomal RNA", at positions 28 to 507 of the family's 1533-position model. The record is from RNAcentral.
GAUGAACGCUGGCGGCGUGCCUAAUACAUGCAAGUCGAGCGAACGGACGAGGAGCUUGCUCCUCUGACGUUAGCGGCGGACGGGUGAGUAACACGUGGAUAACCUACCUAUAAGACUGGGAUAACUUCGGGAAACCGGAGCUAAUACCGGAUAAUAUAUUGAACCGCAUGGUUCAAUAGUGAAAGACGGUUUUGCUGUCACUUAUAGAUGGAUCCGCGCCGCAUUAGCUAGUUGGUAAGGUAACGGCUUACCAAGGCAACGAUGCGUAGCCGACCUGAGAGGGUGAUCGGCCACACUGGAACUGAGAAACGGUCCAGACUCCUACGGGAGGCAGCAGUAGGGAAUCUUCCGCAAUGGGCGAAAGCUUGACGGAGCAACGCCGCGUGAGUGAUGAAGGUCUUCGGAUCGUAAAACUCUGUGAUUAGGGAAGAACAAAUGUGUAAGUAACUAUGCACGUCUUGACGGUACCUAAUCAGAAAGCCACGGCUAACUACGUG